Long non-coding RNA from Anguilla rostrata (American eel), 1919 nucleotides. RefSeq lists it as uncharacterized. The record is from RefSeq and is a predicted model, not a curated record. The transcript is spliced from 5 exons. Lineage: Eukaryota; Metazoa; Chordata; Actinopteri; Anguilliformes; Anguillidae.
UGAGAUUGACAAAUUGCGUUUUCGUGUUUUUUGUCCUGUACCUCGACACAGUCAUUGCAUUCUGUUUAACGGGAUGUUUUCCUUGGCAUUGCGUACUCGUGCAGCACGAUCGAGAGGAAAUGUCUACAAUCUCACUUACACUUCCCCUGGCAAGCAUACGCUUGCGGUUUGGAGACAUCUGCUGGGCUGCGGCGUGCCUCGUCCUGCAAAGCCGGGGGAAGCGCGCCGCGGUCUGGUAUGGAAAGCGCGUGCCAAGUGUGUUCGCGAGACCAGCAGAGCGGCGCGGUUGGCCGGGAUGAUUUCCCCGUUCAAUCUAAUCUAGGAGAUAGGAGUGUUUUGAUGAAGGAUCGGCGAGGUGAAUUGCUAGCCGUGACUUUGAACCCCGGGUUUUCACCCGAAAAUCAGAAAACCAUUUCAUACCCAAGAAACAGGUUCCAGCUGUGCAGUCCGAGCUGCUGGUUCCAGAGGAGUAACAUACAGUUGGAAAGAAAACAAGGCGAUACGUAUAAAAGAUGACAGAGCGUCAGGUCCGUCUCCCAGAUCUGUGGACCAGAGUCCUGCAAUCCUGCCUGCCUGGAUGUGCUCAUGGCUGGAGACCCACCCCCACCGCUUCUCCUCACCCACACAGCCACAGGGUUGGCUGUGUAGAAGUCCCGCCUCCGUUUCAUCUCAUCUGUCAGAAACGAAACAAUGAGAAGGGAAGCGUUCUCACUGGACGAGCCAGGGCUGGGCAGUCUGCAGUGAGUCAGAGCAGCCUUCCCUUACCUCUGAAGAGCCCGGGGACCAGCUUGUACACGAUGUCCUGCAGCGUUUUGUCUGACCUGCAGGGGGGGACAGCACAGUCAGGGGCCACAACGGAGUGUGAAGGUCCAGGGCUCUCUCACCCCAACAAUGGGGAUUUUUGAAAUAAUCUGGCGCCCAACACAGGGCUGUGCAUGUCUAGUUCCCACCCUAAUUUGGAAUGUCCUAUUGUCACCCCAGUUGUGUUCAUGGAGCAAGCCCACAGCACGGACAGGACACAUGGGUGAGCCCACAAUGGGAUUCGUACCCCAAUAUUGGAUUCAGGACAUGAUAUUCCCACAACACUAUAAGUGGAACAAAUUUAUGUUGCAUUGAUUCAAAUCUUUGCCAUAUAUCCAUCCAUCCUUCCAUUAUUUAUACCCGCUUAUCCUAGGCAGGGUUGUGGGAUAUCCCAGCAUGCACUGGGUGAGAGGCCCACAGCCAUAUCACUUUUAUAUUAAAAUAAGUAAAUAUAAUAUAAUGGGACCAGAUGAGAGGCAGACAUGAGAGAAUUUUACAUAAUUUUAUAAAAACCACUAAAAAAAAAAAAAGCAAAGAAAAAAAGCAUGGAAGCUGAAUUCUCAAAAUGUGAUUUAUGCAUAAUUGAAUAAAUUCAAAAAAAUCGUUUUGUUCCAUUUUUUCUCCUUGAUUAUGCAGUGUGGUGAACACUGAUAAUCACAGAAAGUGGAGGAGGUUCCACAGUCCUAGCCUGUGCACAAGUACAGAUGCAGUGCAGUAUGGCGUGUUACACUCACACAAAAGUUGGCACUUGAGUAAGGCUGUCAAUCUCAAUUAGAAAUGACAUAAGCACUUAAAGAAGCAUGUCGGAUAAUCCGGUUGGUUGUUUAUGUGGGAGGCAGUUAUGCGGGCGUUUACCUUCAUGACCUAGGAAUGCGAUUCGUAUCGCCAUUGUUCCGUGUCAAGAAAUUUAAUACAACGGUAUUUUGCCUCAUGCCAAGGACCCACCCAACACAAGCGGCGUCAGUUACAGCAGAGGUUCACAUCUAGGGCGGGUUCAGCUCGGGUUUUCGAGCCAAAUCUGAGUUAUUGAAUUAGCCUGACCCUGUUUGAACUGAUAUUUCUGAUGAAGUCAUGAGAUAAACCUGCAGACUGUGUGUGUGUAUCUUUGGUGGACUUUU